GUCACCCUGUAUAGAAAUUGUUGAAACUAUUUAUGAUAGUAAGCUUGAACUCGACACAUUUUACGACCAUAAAAUGAGAUUCCUCAAUUUGUUUUUAGUAAUUUGUAGAAAAACAUAAUAAUAAUGUAUAAACAGCUGAUGAUUACCAUAGUUUCAACAUUUUACUUGUUCUGCAAACACCCGGUAUAGAAAUGUACACGACGUACACACAAGUAAAGUUCACUCGCCUUCGUGAGUUGCAAGAACUAUACAAUGUUUGUGAUUAAUGAAACUAAAGUUGUGAAUCUAUAUUUCCUAUGAGAUCAACGUGAUAAACAAUGUUUUCUCAGGAUUCGUGAGAAGAAAUUUAUCUAAAUUAAAUCAUAAUAGAAAUAUGCAUAUUUUAAUUCAAAUUUUAAUUGAAACCUAAUAGAAUAAGGUACGUAAUAAGAUAAAGGUAAUUCUUCCACAGUUGAGUAAAAGUUUUUUUUAGUUAAUUUUAGAUAAAAUUUCUUCUCAUUAUUUAUAAUUAUGUUUAUUAAUAUACAUCAGCUUUAUUAGUCCAAAACGACGUACUAAACGCUUCUAGCGCUCACUAGUUGGCGCCAAUUGCGAGUGACACGCCUUACUCGACAUGGCGCCAAGUGGGCGCGAACUCAAAAAAAAUACAUAAGUGAUAAAAAGAAUUUUUAAUUAGGUCAAUAUUUAUCGUGUAUUUGUGAUUGUGACUUAGAUAAUGCAUAGGACUUGUACUAAAUUAUUAUUUAUAAAAUAAAAUUGUCGUGUAUACAAAAUAGCAAGGAUGUAGCUAUUUAUAAUGUUAACGCCAAUAAAAAAUAACUGGCAUUCAAAUCUGUCUAUGUCCCUAGAAAUCUAAAUAAAUGGCGUGGUUCCUUAAAACUGAUACCCAUUGAACCCAGGUUAAGAAACUCUAUAACUUGAGAUCUCCUAGCUAGAUGACUGUAAGAUGAUAUAUCCCUGUAUUACAAAAUGUAUUAGUAGGUGUUUGUCAUCAUAACUUUUAAA
This is a long non-coding RNA of Ostrinia furnacalis (Asian corn borer), 1005 nucleotides long. RefSeq lists it as uncharacterized. Lineage: Eukaryota; Metazoa; Arthropoda; Insecta; Lepidoptera; Crambidae. The transcript is spliced from 2 exons. The record is from RefSeq and is a predicted model, not a curated record.